CCAGCCGUCACCACCUCAUCAGAUUGCCUGUUGCAGUUGUUGGAGAGAUGUACAGAUGGCAGCAGAACAUGCAGCAUAGUGAAGACUUGACUUCACUGUGAGCAUAACUAUGAAUGGAACAGUCAGCCACAUGUUGGCAAGUAUCCGGUUAGACAAACCUGUCAUCGACAACAGCUUUUACAGGCUCAUCAUUUGUACAAAUACACAAGGUAACACACUUCAUUACUUUGAUACAUUUGAAAACCCAAUAGUGAAACAUAAUGUAUAUAAAUUGGCAUUAUUUGUUUGCUUAUUUUCUACUUCUUAGAUGCAUAUAAUGUCCAGGUCAUAACCUAACCAGGUGGAACCAGCCUGAGCCCUGUGUUCACCAUAUAAUGUCCAGGUCAUAACCUAACCAGGUGGAACCAGCCUGAGCCCUGUGUUCACCAUAUAAUGUCCAGGUCAUAACCUAACCAGGUGGAACCAGCCUCAGCCUGAAGUGAAAUAGGAAGGUGAACACAGUGAUCAGGUUGGUUUCACCAGGCUGAUCAUAACCACCAUUGAUAAUGUAAUCAGUGCUGUGUGUGCGUGUGCGUGUGUGUGAGAGACCAACCAGUAUAUUUGAUCGGGGGCCAGGAGCUGAUCUAUGCUGCUAUUCCCAUCAAUGGGGCUCUGGCAAAGACCUCACCUCCAGCCUCACCUCUUGCCUGCUCACCAAUGGUCAUCGAUGACAACAGAAUUUGAUGGACUGGAGAUGGUUAUGCCAGCCGGCAUCCUCAGUCAUUUGAUGGGGAGACCAUAAUAGG
Salvelinus sp. IW2-2015 is the source of this 785-nucleotide non-coding RNA. NCBI's taxonomy places the organism in Eukaryota, Metazoa, Chordata, Actinopteri, Salmoniformes, Salmonidae. The record is from RefSeq and is a predicted model, not a curated record.